This is a non-coding RNA of Pogona vitticeps (central bearded dragon), 141 nucleotides long. NCBI's taxonomy places the organism in Eukaryota, Metazoa, Chordata, Lepidosauria, Squamata, Agamidae. The record is from RefSeq and is a predicted model, not a curated record.
GAGUUAUGGCAGUUGCCAUCUUCUGUUAGUCUGAGAGGUAUUCAAAAGUUGUUUUCCUUCCAGCAGUGAAUGACAAAGAGGUGUAAUUCACUACAUAUACAAAUAAGUAUAUAUAAAUGCAUAUUUCUUGGUGGCUAGUAA